CCUACGGGAGGCAGCAGUGAGGAAUAUUGGUCAAUGGCCGCAGGGCUGAACCAGCCAAGUCGCGUGAGGGAUGACGGUCCUAUGGAUUGUAAACCUCUUUUGUCAGGGAGCAAAGGGCGCCACGUGUGGCGCUUUGCGAGUACCUGAAGAAAAAGCAUCGGCUAACUCCGUGCCAGCAGCCGCGGUAAUACGGAGGAUGCGAGCGUUAUCCGGAUUUAUUGGGGUUAAAGGGUACGCAGGCGGAAUGUCAAGUCAGCGGUAAAAUUUCGGGGCUCAACCCCGUCGUGCCGUUGAAACUGGCGUUCUUGAGUGAGCGAGAAGUAUGCGGAAUGCGUGGUGUAGCGGUGAAAUGCAUAGAUAUCACGCAGAACUCCGAUUGCGAAGGCAGCAUACCGGCGCUCAACUGACGCUCAUGCACGAAAGCGUGGGUAUCGAACAGGAUUAGAUACCCCAGUAGUC
Molecule: ribosomal RNA, 459 nt
Filed under: uncultured bacterium
Lineage: Bacteria
Description: partial 16S ribosomal RNA
Rfam family: Bacterial small subunit ribosomal RNA
Source: RNAcentral